Molecule: ribosomal RNA, 503 nt
Filed under: uncultured bacterium
Lineage: Bacteria
Description: partial 16S ribosomal RNA
Rfam family: Bacterial small subunit ribosomal RNA
Source: RNAcentral
AUUGAACGCUGGCGGCAGGCUUAACACAUGCAAGUCGAGCGGGGUGAUGGUGCUUGCACUAUCACUUAGCGGCGGACGGGUGAGUAAUGCUUAGGAAUCUGCCUAUUAGUGGGGGACAACAUCCAGAAAGGGAUGCUAAUACAGCAUACGUCCUACGGGAGCAAGAAGGGGGUCACUUGUGCCCUUGCGCUAAUAGAUGAGCCUAGGUCGGAUUAGCUAGUUGGUGGGGUACAGGCCUACCAAGGCGACGAUCUGUAGCGGUUCUGGAAGGAUGAGCCGCCACACUGGGACUGAGACACGGCCCAGACUCCUACGGGAGGCAGCAGUGGGGAAUAUUGGACAAUGGGGGGAACCCUGAUCCAGCCAUGCCGCGUGUGUGAAGAAGGCCUUAAGGUUGUAAAGCACUUUAAGCGAGGAGGAGGCUCUUUUGGUUAAUACCCAAGAUGAGUGGACGUUACUCGCAGAAUAAGCACCGGCUAACUCUGUGCCAGCCGCCGCAGUAA